ACAAAUGCUCCAGUUUUCCAUUUUGUAUUCCACCCGAUGCCACGUAGAAUGGGAACUGUUACGUUCUUUUCAACAUGGCUCUUCACUGCUGCUCCCUACUCAUGUUUUAAUAUGCUGCAUCAUUUUAUGUGGGUGGGUAUGUUGCUCUGCAGUUUUGUGGGUACUUGGUCACAGAUUAAACAGCAUCAGUGUCUGCUGUAAAGCAGCUAUAAAUCAUAACCAUGAGGUCGACAUACUGCAUCUCUUUAAAAAGCAGAAAUUGUAGAACUGUGGGACUGACCUGUACAAUUUUCUGGUACAAUAAUUUUGAGACUGCUCUUGGCACUUCAAGAGGAAAGCAGAGUUUCUUUCACUCUGAUCAUACAUUUUCAUGAACAAAGAAUAACGGUGAUUUACUGAAAUGAGUUUAUAGUUCUGGAAGUUGCAUCUACUGCAUCUGCUGGUGGAAGGAAGAGGUUUAAGUUCCAGGUCUGUUGAGUUUCUAAGCUGGCAGCUUCCUGAUAUAUAGCCCCUGGCUACACAGACAGCUCUGAUUAUAUGUGCCUGUAUGUCGCUGUAAUGUGCCUCUCAGACAAUCUCUCAGCUCUAACAGAAAUUCUGGAAGGCCUUUAACACUCAAUCCAAAAGCCACCCUUUUUGGUCCUACUGGAAUAUCUCAUAGCUAUUACAUUCUGAAUAGUCGAGCAAGACUUAGGAAAGUAGAGACCACCAUUCUGAGAGAAUACGGGAAUCCAUUGAAGACAUGAAACAGUGCAGUCUUCGUUUUCAUUUAUAUCGACAUAACAAAAGUUCUGCUGAACAAGAAAAAAAAUGUAUCAUGAGUCAAGAUAGUACAACAGCUUUUCUUCAGGAAUAAAAAUAACACUGCCAAGAAUAAUUCCUAGCUUAAGUCAAACUCUGGUUAUGUAUUAUAUUAAUAUGUUCAUGGACUUGCUACAUUAAGAACUGUGGAGAGGUUCAUUAGGUUAUUCUAUGCCACAGCCUAACUUGAUAUAUGACAUUUCUAACUUUGUUUUUAUCAAACACAACACCAGGCCUAUUGACAUUUUUCUGAUUAAGACUAUUUAAAGGAAACAACCAAUAGUAUGAUUUGUACUCAAGUAGGAUUCAAGUUAGAAUUUUUAUCAGACUACAAGAAGACGCCUCAACACUCAGCUAGUUUUAUUUAUUUAUUUAUUUACCAGUUGUUUACCAGGCAGCUGAGAUGGUCUAAUGAGCCUUUUCAGUAACAGCCUGGAAGAUUCUUAAAAAUACAGCAGGUAACUUUGAUGGCAAACAAAUAUGGACAUACAGUUUGAUUAAAACUGAUUAUUAAAGAGAAAGUUUUUAUUGAAGUGCAACAUACAGUAUAUGACAGACAUUGACUAAUUUAUGCAAGUUUUAAAUUAUGAAUAGUAUUUACAAUAUUUACACUUGCUAAGCAUGCAAGUGAUGGAUUAAUUUAGUUACUGUACAAUGUAGAUGAGGUAGUGUAUGAGCCAGUAUCUUUAAAGUAUAUGCAAGUGACCUUAUUUAUCUCAUUAGAACCUAUGGGAUAUGGAAUGUCACACCUCUAGCCUACAUACAUCCUUGCAUUCUAGAGCAUUUUCUGAAAAAUCAAAAUAAAAGCAUAAGAUAAACAAAUAUUAGUAUUUUGUGAACAAUAAAGGCCAUUAAAACUAUACAAACAGCAAUGUUAUUAGUAAGAAGUCUCCUUUGCAGCAGUCCCAGUCAGUGCAAUCGUAGUCUUUUCAUAAAUGCUAUAAUAUAUUACAAUGCACACAAAACCAGAGUUAUAUAUAUAUUUUUUUGCUAAACCAAAUUGUCAUACCUUGUAAAAUAUAUAACCUUAGAUAUAUACUGUUAGAACACUUUUAUUAACCAGAUACAAGCUAUGGCACAACAGUAAGAAAUUCCUCUCUGGAUGCAUGUAUAUUGGAAUAUUUACAGAAAUAUGAAAACGUAUGAGCUAUUGUAUAAUUAGCAAAAUAGAUAACACUGAAUAUCUCUCAAAAUGUGCAACUUACAGUGCAAAUAUCAGUGACAGUUUUCUUCAACAACAUCUAAGAUUUCAGCUGAUGCCAUAAAAUAGACUAGAAAUUACUUGCUCUUUGAAGUAUUAAGUAUAUAUGGAAGUAUUGCUAAUUGUCAUAAUUGCUAACAAAAACUUGUAGAAUUUCCACUACAUUGUGAUGUACAUGGAUUUUGACAAUGAAUUUUCCUGUCUCCCACCAUAUCAUUUCAUAUCAUAUCUCUCAGUUAUAGGUCUAUCAAUUAUAAAAAUACUAACACAUAUAUGAAAAUCUGAAUAAUAAGUGGCAAACUGUGAUACAUUUCUCUACUGUGGGACAUCCUACAUUACCAGUUUUUGCAACAUUUUGUUAUUUAUUCCCUGCCCUUUCCAAUACUGCACAUUAUUACUUGAGGAGUGGUGGUGCGUUGUCACUUCACAGUUAGAUGUCCGUUCGAUUCUCAGUUAGAGCGUCUACUGUGUGACGACAUGCGUGAAUGUGCGUUCCUUCGUUGAAGGUUGUGCG
Protopterus annectens (West African lungfish) is the source of this 2516-nucleotide long non-coding RNA. RefSeq lists it as uncharacterized. Lineage: Eukaryota; Metazoa; Chordata; Ceratodontiformes; Protopteridae. The record is from RefSeq and is a predicted model, not a curated record. The transcript is spliced from 6 exons.